AUACGGAGGAUGCGAGCGUUAUCCGGAUUUAUUGGGUUUAAAGGGAGCGCAGGCGGCGCGUUAAGUCAGCGGUGAAAUGUCCCGGCUCAACCGGGGAGCUGCCGCUGAUACUGGCGUGCUGGAGUACGGACGGCGCCGGCGGAAUGUGUCAUGUAGCGGUGAAAUGCUUAGAUAUGCCACAGAACACCGAUCGCGAAGGCAGCUGGCGAGGCCGGUACUGACGCUCAUGCACGAAAGCGUGGGGAUCAAACAGGAUUAGAUACCCUGGUAGUCCACGCAGUAAACGAUGAGGAUUUGUUGUCGGCGAUAGAUAGUCGGUGACAAAGCGAAAGCGAUAAGUCCUCCACCUGGGGAGUACGAUCGCAAGGUUGAAACUCAAAUGAAUUGACGGGG
Molecule: ribosomal RNA, 393 nt
Filed under: uncultured bacterium
Lineage: Bacteria
Description: partial 16S ribosomal RNA
Rfam family: Bacterial small subunit ribosomal RNA
Source: RNAcentral